UUUUUAUUCAAUUUUUAUCGAUAUCGAUAAUAUCCCAAUAUUUCCAUCGAAAUUUCAGUGUUUAUAGACUACCGAUAUUUUCGAUAUCAUCGAUAUUUAAUACCUUGUUUCAAGUUCAACUAGGUUAUAGAUUUGGUUUUGCGGUUUUGGGUUUGCACUUCUCUUCGACUCCCGACUGCUUCUGCGCCUUGCAUCUCUGCCUUUGCCUCUGCAAUCUGCAUCUCUGCCUUUGCCUUUGCGACUGCGACUGCCUGCUUGCAUCUCUGCCUCUGUGACUGUGACCUCACUGAGUCACUGCUUGCCUUGCAUCCCCAGAUCCCCUUCAUCUGCAAGCCCUAAUCUCUGCAAAUCAAAAGCUCUGCAAAACAGACUUGGCAAAUCAUUCACAUGCUCUUCGUUCCAGCUAAUAUGGUAAAAACUUAGAACUUGUAUUACUUAGAACUAGUAUCAUUCAUCAAUUUAAUCUGUUUUUAUGUUGAUCUAUAUAUAUAGCUAGUUUUGAGAUAUUAGAUUAAGCAACUGUUUAGCUGAGGGCGUUGUAUUUAGUAUUACAUUUGCAUAAUCUCCUUAUGGUUUACAUAUUAUUUUUCAUUUUGUUUCAAUCUAUUUUAUCAGUUUUGGACCUUUCAAUUUGUUUUCAGGUGAUUCCUCUCUCAUGGAUUAUUUUUUGUGGAUUUUCAUAUGCAAAUUAUGCUAAAAUUAUGAUGUAAUGUUCUUUAGAUCUCUGUUAAUGUUUUCGUUUGCAAACACGGUCGGUUCUCGGUUGCGAAAGACAAUAUUUCUUUUUGUGUUUUAGAAUGAAAUAGAAUACGCUUUGUGUCAAUUUUAUGAUCUGAGUUACUUGUCGAACUAGGUUAUUUCGGGUUUGAUGUGUUUGAAUUUGUUCUGGGAGCAUUCGAGUAGUUAGAAACUGAAACCCCUAAGUUAAUGAGAAACCAUGUAGUCCUUUUAUUUGGUUUGUCAUGGAUGUGUUCUUUGUCUUCUGCAAACAUCUUAUUGUUUCUGGUUAUGUUUUUAUUUGCUCAAGCUUGCUUGAUUUGGCUGCUUAUAGAACAUCUAAGGGAGCACUUAGUUUUUUAUCGAGCAGAGGAAUGGUUUUCUUCAUAGUCUCAUUAACCAAGUUUACCUAUAUAGUUAAAUGUGGUGUUUGACUAAGAACGAAAAACAAAUUUUGGAAUUGAAAUGGUGUUGGACCUUUUGCUUGAAGACAGCCUGAUGCCUCAGCAGAAGAGUAUGGUGUUAAUUAAAAGUUUUAAACUUGGAUUGAAGUUGGUCGGAUUUGAUUAAUGAAACAUGCAGUUCUGGAGCUUAUAGCAGCUCAGCUAGCUGUUUUCUGUUUUGUUUUUGCUGAAAUAGUUGAUUUUGUUUGGAAUUUUUGUUUUGAGCAAUUCUAUGUUGGGUUCUACCUCUGGGGUUAUGUGAUAUUGUGAUUGUUACAAGGAAAAUAAGACCGUCUUAUGCAUAAAUAUGUGUAUAUUUUAAAUUGUACAUUUUUUUCUCAAAAACCAAACCGAAACCAUUUGAAACCACACUGAACCGAACCAAACGGUUUGGUUUCAUUUCGGUUUUGGCUUCAAAACCGCACCGCAAAAAGUUUCGGUUUCGGUUUCGGUUAUGGUUUCACUCGAAACCGCACCGAACCACACUACGCCCACCCCUAGUGGGGUUGGUUUGGAAUUGUAGUGCUUCUAAACAAAUAAUUUAUUAAAAAAUUUGGAAUAUCGAAUUUGUUUAGUAAAAAAAAAUAUUUUCUUAGAAAAACUAUUGUUAAUAACAGUAGAAAAACAUAGAAAAGUAUACCCCAUAUAUAUUACAAAAUGAAAAUCAUUGUCCUACAUUAUUCUCUUUGACAAUUAGUAUAUCACAUAAAAUAUCAUAUACUUUUUUAGUCAUUUAACAUGUUUACAACAAUUUAUUUAAAAGCUUACCAAAGACUCAGAUAUUUUUUUUUUUGUUAAAAACACUUUUACAAAAAAAAUUAAAAAAUUUACAAAAUAUUCAACAACUUUAUUUUAGUUUCUUUUUCUCACAGCACAGUUUCCAAAGCAAAACAAUACCAAACUAACCCUUAGUUUGUCAAACUGUUCUAACUAUUUUUGUCGAAUAUACUAACUUGUGCAUUAGAUACUACUCUCUAAGACCAUCUCCAAUCCGUUACUUAGUAUUACGGUCUAGUGAUAUUCCUCUUGUAAGUGAGAGGUCUUCAGUUCGGUUCUCACCAAAAACAAAGUUGAACCACAUUAUUAUGACAAGCCUAUUGUAAAACUUGACCUACUCCCCAUCCCAUUAGUGUACAUACUAUCUUUCGCUAAGAAAAAAGAAGACUCCUUCCAACCCUUGGUUAAAACCUAAUAUUUUUAAUCCAAAUAUAUUAGGUUUUAACCUAAAAUUGUUUUUUUUUUCUUUUUUUUUUUGGCUCCAAUAGUUCUAGGUUAAAAUAUUAACAUGAAUUAUUAAAAAAUGAAUUUAGGCUAAAUUUUUUUUCAGUAACUUUUUUUUCAAAAUAAAAUUUAUGUAGAUUAUUAGAAUUUAUUUGUUAUUUUCACAUAAAAUAUUUAGAUUCCGAGAAAAGUUGAAAAUUCACUAAACCGACCCAUGAAACAUAUAUUUAUAGAGUUUUUGGAUGAAUUUUGAUUUAAAUAUUUUUUUUAUAAUUGUUUUAGCCGUUGGAUCCAAUUCGGUCGUUUCAGAUUUUUUUUUACCAUUAGAUUGCUCAUAUUUGAUCGCAGUCGUUGGAUUUAAUGUAUUUAAAAUUUUAAAAUGGCCUAAAUUUUAGGUUUUAACCCAAAACUUAUUUUAAACCCAACCAUUGGAAAAUGAUUUGAAUAGUUUAAAACCUAAAUUUGGCGGGCCAACCUUUUAACCUGGCCUAAAUUCUUGAUUAAAUUUGCCCAAAUUUUAGGUUUUAACCAAAAACUCAUGUUAGGUCUAACCAUUGGAGAAAGAUUGGAUUAGUUUAAAACCUACAUUUUAGGUUUUAACCCAACGGUUAGAGAUGGUCUAAAUACUCAUGUUUGGUGUAGUAUUGAAUUAAAGACCAUAUUAUCUACCCACCUUAAAAAAAAUUUCGUCCCUGAAAUUUUAAAUAAGUAGCUAGCCAAAGAUGGGAUUCAAUGGCUAGUUGUAUUCGAAAAGUAGCAUAUGAGGUAUUAGGAAAGUCCAAGGGCUUUGCUCCACAUCAAAAGGAAUCUUGUUGGUGGAACGAGGAGGUACAAACAAAGGUGAAGGCUAAGAAGGAAUAUUGUAAAGCCUUAUACAAGGAUAUGACCGAUGAAAAUGGUGAAAGUUAUAGAAUAGCGAAGCAGGAGGCGAAAAAAGCUGUGAGAGAAGCUAAGCUAGCGGCUUAUGACGAUAUGUAUAAGCGACUAGAUACCAAAGAAGGAGAAUUGGAUAUCUAUAAACUAGCUAGAGCAAGGGAAAAGAAGACAAGGGACCUAAACCAAGUGAGGUGCAUUAAGGAUGAGGAUGGAAAAGCUCUUGCUACAAAGAACACGGUCAAAGACAGAUGGAGAAGUUAUUUUCAUAAUCUUUUCAAUAAAGGACAUGAAAGGAGUACUUUUUUUGGGGAGUUGAGUAACUCAAAAGAGUGUAGAAACUACUCAUUUUACCGCUGAAUCAGGAAGGAAGAAGUGGUUGUAGCUUUGAAAAAGAUGAAACAUAGAAAAGCAGUGGACCCAGAUGAUAUACUAAUCAAAAUGUGGAAAGUCUUGGGAGAGACGGGUAUAACAUGGCCCACAUACUUUUUCAAUAGGAUUUUGAAAAUGAAGAAGAUGCCAAUUGAGUGGCGAAAGAGCACUUUGGUGCCCAUAUACAAGAAUAAGGGCGACGUACAAAAUUGCAUGAACUAUAUGGGUAUUAAGCUAAUGAGUCAUACAAUGAAGCUCUGGGAGAGAGUCAUUAUGCAUAAAUUGAGGCAAGAGACACGGGUUUUGGACAACCAAUUCGACCUCAUGCCAGAGCGCUCAACCAUGGAGGCAAUCUAUCUCUUACGAAGAUUGAUGGAAAGAUAUAGAGAUAGGAAAAAGGAUUUACAUAUGGUUUUUAUAGAUUUGAAAAAAGCAUACGAUAGGGUCUCAAGAGACAUUCUUUAGAGGAUUUUAGAAAAGAAAUGAGUACGAGCAACAUAUAUCCAAGCUAUAAAGGAUAUGUAUGAUAGAGCAAAGACUGCUGUAAGAACUCAUGAAGGACAAACCAAAAGCUCCACAUAACUGUUGGGUUACAUCAAGGCUCAUCCUUAAGUCCUUACCUUUUUGCAUUGGUAAUGGAUGAGUUAACGAGACAUAUGCAAGAUGAUAUUCCUUGGUGUAUGCUUUUCACAAACGAUAUAGUGUUGAUAGAUGAAACUCAGGAAGAGGUAAAUACAAAGCUUAACCUUUGGAGAGAAUUGUUGGAAUCUAAAGGUCUUUGCCUAAGCCGAUCAAAGACAAAAUAUAUGGAGUGCAAGUUUAGUGCAAAUGGAGGCUAAAAUGAGUUAGGGGUGAGGAUCGGAGAUCAGGAAGUACCAAAGAGCGACCGCUUUCGUUACUUAGGAUCUAUCCUGUAAAAGAACGGAGAAUUAGAUGGAGACCUCAAUCAUAUAAUACAAACUGGAUGGAUGAAAUGGAAGAGUACAUCUGACGUGUUGUGUGACCGCCGUAUGCCACUGAAACUCAAGGAAAAUUUUUAUAGGACGUUAAUAAGGCUAGCGAUGAUGUAUGGCACGAAAUAUUGGGCAGUGAAGCAUCAACACAUACAUAAAAUGGGUGUAGCAGAGAUGAGCAUGCUUCGUUGGAUGUGUGGGCACACAAGAAAGGAUAAGAUUAGGAAUGAGAAUAUCCGAGGUAAAGUAGGAGUAGCCGAAAUUGAAGGAAAGAUGAGAGAAAAUCGGUUACGGUGGUUUGGACAUGUGUAAAGAAGGCCUACUGACGCUCCGGUUAGAAGAUGUGACUACGGGACAAAGGUUCAGAGCUGAAGAGGUAGAGGAAGACCUAGGAAAACUUUGAAAAAGACUCUAAGAAAAGACUUAGAGUACUUGGAUCUAAUGGAGGACAUGACACAGAACUGAGCUCAAUGGCGUUCUAGGAUUCAUAUAGCCGACCCCACUUAGUGGGAAAAGCCUUUAUUGUUGUUGUUGUUGCUAAACAUAAAACACUCAAGGAUAGAAAGAAAAUAUAUAAAGAAGAAAUAAAGCUAGAGUGGUUGCAUAAAAGAGAAUGUCAUUCCAUUGCGAUCAGAUUGCAAUGAUUCUUCUUUCAUGCCUCCAAACUCAAACUUUCUCUCUUCUUCAGUACAAUAUUAUACCAUACUACCUUCAUAAGAACAUAAGUAAAAAAUAGAUAUAUAUAAUAACGAUGAGGACAAUUAUACCAAGUGAGUGGUAAUUGAGUUAUCAUUAGAUAUUAUUAUCAUUAGUUCCGCUUCAUUUGGUAUCAGAGCCAAGUGAGUGGUAAUUGAGUUAUCAUUUUUUUAAUCACUACAUUUGGUCAUUAUUCAGUUUCAUUUAUAGCUUAUCUUAUUUGUUAACCUUCUAAGUAGGACUGUUUACUCUCCACCCAAACAGUAAGGCGUCUUCCAAACAAUAAGUCCAUAGGAUUGGCAUGAGCGAAUCGCAUAAGCAGAGAGGGAGUUUAGCAAAUACACGAGGAAGAUAAUAGACAGUAAGAUUUUCUGCAUAUUGAAAACCUACAUUUUGAACAAUAUGAGUAGAUUAUUUAGAUCUAAUUCAACUGCCAGCUAGCUCCAGAACAAGUUUAAGUAGAAUUCCAAACAUAGUAAAUGAAGAACAAAAAUUAGAAUUUCAAACGGAUGACAGUGUCAACCUUGGAGAUUGGAAUAUCCCCAAAGUUUCUAUUAAAAACAUUUACAAAAAGAAAUGAUCAGUAGCCUCUUUUAGAAGUGAACACCACGUCAAAAUAGUUGAAAAAGCUUAUUCUCUUAGUAAAGAACAUGAAACUUGUCAAUUAUUCACACCAGAACAAAUCAGAACUCAUAGAAAAGAUGGUUACAAUUACAUUCACAUAGGUCUAGUCCAAAUAGCAGUCAAGCCCUUAACAAGAAGAGGCCUCAAUACCUCUAUUUUGUUAUGUCUCCAAGAUGCAAGAUUCACUGACUUCAGUGAUAGUAUUCUUGGAAUGAUUGAGUCAAGUCUUUACAAUGGACCAAUUCAUUUUGAUUACUUCCCAGAUCUCACAAUAAGUCUUUUAGACCCCCACAUGCUAAAAACACUCACAUUAAACAUAAAAACUUCAGGGUACCAAGUCCUUGAAGGAGUCGAACCAUUAGCUUUAAUUUUCAGAGUUUACUACAAAGUCACAUGAACAAACAUGAACUUCCAAGCCUUAGUUAAAAGUCCUCGAGACCACACACUCUUGAUACAAACCAAUCAAGAAAAUGCCAACAUUAAAAUACCCAGAACCAUUAGAUGGUCAGAUAUCAGUCUACCUUCAUAUUGAUGCUUGAUCAAUGAAAGCAAACUAGUUAGUAUCCAAAAUAGUUUAGUCAACCUAGACAACAUAGAACAAUAUUUUGAUGGAACAGUUAAAAUCAACUUUAACUGUCCAGCCAGAAAAUCUAGUGUCCACUUACACGAGUUAGCCCAGUCACACAAAUCUUUAGAACCAAGUAGGAAUUCUUUUUUUGGAUCCACAUCAGCCGAUAUGGUGGGUCGAGGUCAAGAUUUAAUCAAUUCCUUAGUCAAUAGAAAAUUAAAAGCAGUAUAAACUAGCUUAGCAGUCACCGAGCAAUAAUUAAUUAAUGAUUUGAUCAACCUAAAAUUAAAAUCUUUAUAAACAACCUCUCAGGUAACUCACCCACGAUACCAGCCUAACACUCAAAACCAAUGAGAACAAACCUCUCCAACAUAAUCCGACUUCGAAGCAAGUCAAAUUAACCACCAAUUACUUGUAUUGAAUAAACCAUUCAAAUUUCGAUGGAAGAAACUCAAUGCUGACAUCGAAGCAACAUCAAAUAUUCCCAAAAGACAUAUUUUUCGAAAUAAAUAUACAAAAGAACAAAAACUGGACAUUUACGAUAAAUGGACUAAUUUCAUGAAAAAGCAUAGACUUGAAGUAUUUUUCUUCGAUUUCGUUGAAAAAUAUUACGAGUUUGAAAAGAAGAUAGAAGUCAUCACCAAAGAAAAUUGGGUUAAAGAAGACAAAACCAUAGUCUCUUCUAGUCACCAUCUACAAGAAACAAUUUUAAUUACAACUGCAAACACACAAGUACCAGCCACUUCUUUCAAACUUCCAAAAGAAGAUGCAGGAGUCAAGCCAGUCAUCGAACAAAACAAUUUUACAAACCAAAGUCUACACACCAUAAGAAAACAAUUAGACAAAAUAGAAACCAAAGUAGAUAGACUUUCUCAACCAAAACCAACAAUUAGGAAAAAACCCUUAGUCAACUUCCCAGAAUCUUCCUCUAGCACAAUAGCUUUAAAAACAAUUUCCACAAGUCAAAAAAUAGAUCAAAUGUUACAAGAAUUAAAACAAGAAAAAACAGUCAAUGUUUUACAACAUCCAGAUAAAUCUCAACCAGAAACAACUUAUGCAAUAUGAGAUUCAGAAGACGAGAGUGAAAUAAAUUCCAUCAGAAAAGUAGAAGAAGCUUUUCAAAAUCUUGAACUAAAACGAAUCACGAACAAACUAGUCAAUCCAACAACUCUUACCAAAAAUUGGUAUCCAAGGCCAACAUCUCCGGAUAUUCAAUUUGAAGAAAAAAACAUCCAAAAUCAAUUCUCAAUCUCAGCUGAAAAACUCUAUGAAUGGAACAUAGAUGGAUUAUCAGAAUAAGAACUUUUGAAUAAAUUACAAUACAACUCCAUGAUUGCUAAUAGUUAUAUUACCAAUCAUAACCUUAGUCAAACACAAGUUGUCGACCUUUUGGUCACUAGAUUUACAUGAAUGCUCCAUUCCUGGUGGGAAAAACAUCUCACUGAACAAUCCAGAAAUGAAAUUAAAAAUGCAGUCAAAAUAGACAAAGAUGGAAUACCCAUCUUUGAUGAGCAUAUAGGACGAGGAGUCCCAGAUGCAGUCAACAUAUUACUUUUCACCAUUAUAGAACAUUUCAUAGGGACACCCAGUAAUGUUACCUCCAGAAUUCAUGACCAACUUAGUAACUUUAGAUGUUCGACCCUAAGCUAUUUUAGAUGGUACAAAGAUAUUUUCAUGUCUAGAGUCAUGCUUAGAGAGGAUAGUAAUAAACCAUUUUGGAAAGAAAAAUUCAUUAACGGAUUACCAAAUCUAUUUGCCCAUAAAAUCAGAAAUGUUUUAGUUAAUGAAGAAAGUAUCAUACCAUAUCAUACCCUUACUUAGGAAAAUAUUAUUAAUAUUAUCCAGAAAGAAGGAUUGAAAAUGUGUAUUGAUAUGAAAAUUACAAAACAAGUCAACAAAGACAAGUCAAUAGCCAAAUAUGAAUUAGGAACAUUUUGUGAGCAAUAUGGAUUACCUUCUAUUGCUCCAUCCAACAACAACAACAACAAAAUCUUUUCCCACUAAGUGGGGUCGGCUAUAUGAAUCCUAGAACGCUAUUGCGCUCGGUUUUGUGUCAUGUCCUCCGUUAGAUCCAAGUACUCUAAGUCUUUUCUUAGGGUCUCUUCCAAAGUUUUCCUAGGUCUUCCUCUACCCCUUCGGCCCUAAACCUCUGUCCCGUGGUCACAUCUUCGAACCAGAGCGUCAGUAGGCCUUCUUUGCACAUGUCCACACCACCGUAACCGAUUUUCUCUCCUCUUUCCUUCAAUUUCGGCUACUCCUACUUUACCUCGGAUAUCCUCAUUCCUAAUCUUAUCCUUUCUCGUGUGCCCACACAUCCAACGAAGCAUCCUCAUCUCCACUACACCUACGUGUUGAUGCUUCACCGCCCAACAUUCUAUGCCAUACAGCAUUGCCGGCCUUAUUGUCGUCUUAUAAAAUUUUCCCUUGAGCUUCAGUGGCCUACGACGGUCACACAACACGCCGGAUGCACUCUUCCACUUCAUCCAUCCAGCUUGUAUUCUAUGGGUGAGAUCUCCAUCAAAUUCUCCGUUCAUUUGCAAGAUAGAUCCUAGGUAGCGAAAACGGUCGCUCUUUGGUAUUUCCUGAUCUCCGAUCCUCACCCCUAACUCAUUUUGGCCUCUGUUUGCACUGAACUUGCACUCCAUAUAUUCUGUCUUUGAUUGGCUUAGGUGAGGACCUUUAGAUUCCAACACUUCUCUCCAAAGGUUAAGCUUCGCGUUUACCCCUUCCUGCAUUUCAUCUAUCAACACUAUAUCGUUUGCGAAAAGCAUACACCAAAGAAUAUCAUCUUAAAUAUUAAGUUUGUGAUCUUCGCUAGAUUGCUCCGGUCAUUAGUGUGGAUAAGUAUGUAAAUGGAUAGAGACAGGAAGCAAACACAAGAUGUACGUGGUUCACCCAGAUUGGCUACGUCCACGGAGUAAAGGAGUUCUCAUUAAUUGUGAAGGGUUUACACAGUAUAUAGGUUCAAGCUCUCCUUUAGUGAGUACAAGUGAAUGAUUUAGUACAAAUGACAUUAGGAAAUAUUGUGGAAGAAUGAUCUCGUAAUCACGAAACUUUUGAGUACCGAAGUGUGGUAUCGUCUUCACUUGCCUUAUCUGUCUCAUAGGUAGAUGUGACAUCUUCUUUGAAAGUACUCUUCAUCCCUCCAGGGGUGGUAUCUUUAACUGGUGGAGAUGCACAAGGUAAUGUAUCAAUUUCACUUGACGCUUACUUGUAGUUUCAGGCUUGGUCAAGCGCGAUACAAACCAUGUAGUAGGAGUCCCCCAAGUCGCCGAGCUAGGGGAUCUGCUGAAAGAGGUGACAGACAAGGUAAGCAAUCAGAGCUCCAAGCAAUCAGUCCCAGAUCAGAAGUUUGAUUUCGAGUUCCGGCUGAUUGUUAUCCUUCUCCUUAUCUUGCAGGUAGCAUGAAAGAUAAAGAGAAGAAAAGGAGAAAAUGUGAUAUGAGAUACUUUUGCUUUUGAAGAAGUAACUUUCCACAGGCUUAUUCUUGAACUGGGUUGGAGGGUUUUCUUGUUUCCGCCAGAGUAUAAGGCCGACUGAAGAAUUUGAGGGUCAAAACAAGUCCAUCAAAUCUAGAGUAUGUUUGACCCUGCUGAUAUGGGAUACUUUUGUUGUUGACAAAGUAGUGGAUGUAUCGGCACGUGUUCUGUUGCGCUUGUCUCCACAUGCUUCCUUGUAUCCUUCUCACUUGCCCUAUUUGUUCCUCAGGCAGAUGUGGUAUCUCGGGAAGCAUAAGAUGUUGAAGAUGAGUACUCGAGAGCAAUGGGGUUCCAGGCAGUCAGUUCCGGACUGGAAGCUUGAUUCCAAGUGCUGAUUGAUUGCUCUCUUUCUCCUUGUCUUGCAGGUAAGAACAAGGCCAAAGGAAAAGACAGGGAAAAAGCAUGAUAUGGGAUACUCUUGCUUUUAACCCUGAUGAUAUGAGAUAUUCUUGCUUUAGUGUAGCUUGUUUGCAGAGGUAUUCUCGGGGGGAAAGAAAGCUGAGUAUUUCGAGAGGCUUCGUUGGGAGUGCCCUCUCAGAUAUGAGGAAGGGUUGAGCAUAUUUGCAGGUCUGCCUGUCCGUUGAGGAUGGAGGUCGACAUAUAUAGGAGUCUCCCUAACAAGGAGUAAUACUAUUCUUUUACCCUGCUUGGUCAUAGCACGGUAGUGGGAGCUGCCAGCUUCACGUGUUUUAACUCUGUCAGAGCACUUUGAAAAAGUGGUCUGUGGUAUCUGGAAAGCUGAUGUUACGUGUGAAGAUUACAGACAAGCUUUUUCUAAGGGGCUCUCGAAGUUGAGAAAGCGGUGCCUCUUCGGUUUUCGAACAAGCAAUCCUGUCGGGGAUCUAUCUCUCGAGAUUCGGAGAACGGUGCCUCUUCGAUUUUUGAGAAAGCAAUCCUGCUAGGAGUCUAGCUCUCGAGAUUCGGAGAGCGGUGUCUCGUCGCUUUUUGAGAAAGUAAUCAUGUUGGGAGUCUGGCUCUCGAGAUUCGGAGGACAGUGCCUCUGCGAUCUUGAAGCAAGCAAUCUUGUUGGGAGUGUUUUCUCGAAUGUGAGUAAAGGUUAGGACUGUUUGCUAGUCUACCUUGCCACGGAGCACAGAGGUUGACCCAUCCAACAAAAAGAAAAAAAUCAGAAGCCUACAAUAGGUACCCAAAUAAGUACUCAAGUAAGAGACAUCCCAAAUAUAAAAAUAAGAAUUUUGAAACAAAUACAUUUUACGAGAAACCCAAGCCCAACAAGUGGAAGAGGAAACCCUAAAAAAAAUUCCACUUCAAAAACCAAGAACGAAAAGGAAAUUGCUACAGGUGUGGUAAAUUCGGUCAUUAUGCAAAUAAAUGUAGAGUCAAGAAAACAAUGAGAAAAUCCAGUUAAUUCAGGUCUUAGAAUUAAGAGACAAAAUAGGGUGCACUGAUACUUGUUGUAAAAAGAUUUCAGUCCUCAAUAAACAAGAAGAACAAGAAGAUCUUCUUAUCGAAUUAAUCAGCAAAGUAGAUGACCAUGAAUUAAAGUAAUUUUAUUUAAAGAAACUUAAGAAGUUAAUCUCCCCUGAAGAAGACAGUACUAGUCAAUCCCAAGAGGCCCUAAAAAUAUGUCUUAGCACAACCCUAGAAAGGUUUAAUAGGGCUAAGAAAGAAAUUACAGUCAAAGAUUUACAAAGAGAAGUCAAUAAAAUUAAGGAAGAAAUUAAGUCCUUAAAAUUAGAAAAUAUAGAAAUUCACUCACAUCUCAGUAGCAUUCAAACAUAAGCACUCAUUGGCAAUAAUGAUGAAGAAUAUAAUAGUUCUUCCUCCAACCAAGUGUCAGAAUCCAAAUCCAUAGAAAACCCAACAGAACAUCUAAUUUUAGGAUUACUACAAAAAAUUAGGAUCCGAAAAUGGUAUUCUAAAAUAAAAAUAAUAAUUGAAGGCUUCUAGUUAGAAACAAUUGCCUUAAUUGACUCAGGUGCAAACUUGAAUUGUAUCAAAAAAGGUUUAAUUCCCACUUAGUAUUUUCAUAAAUCAACAUAAAUUAUUAGUGCUACAAAUCAGUCACCGAUGCAAUUAAAAUAUGAAAUCUCAAAAGCCCAUGUUUGUCAAAACAAUGUUUGCUUUAAAACUCCAUUUGUUUUGAUAAAAAAUAUUUCAAACCCAUUCAUUCUAGGUCUCCCCUUCAUAGCUCUCCUAUAUCCUUUUAAGGUACACCAUAAUCGUAUAACCAUGAUAGGGGCAUAUUUAUGCACCUUAGUUAGCUUGUUCUUGUGCAUUUACAUUGUUUUUCCUUAGUUAAAGUAGUCUUAUGUGUUUUCAGGUUUUAAGGGCAUAUCAUACAAAAAGAUGCAUUUUGGAACCUUUUAGAGCACAAUUGAGCUUGGAUUGGACAUCACAUACUUGGAGCCAAGAGGAUGGACGAAAUUGAAGAUUUGAAGAUGAUGUUUCCUACUUGAACAAGGUUUCCUUGUUGAAGUAGGAAAGUCCCUAAUUGAAGAUGGAAUCCUAGUUGAAUUAGGAUUCCUAGUUGAAAUAGGUUUCCUAGUGGAAUUGGGAUUCCUAGAAGAUGAAGAUUCCUACUCAAACAAGGUUUCCUACUUGAAGUAGGAAAGUUAAAUCCAAAUGGCAUCAAGUUUCAGCAACAAAGAAGUUUUCCAAGUCCAAAUGAAGGAAAAGGAAUCCAAGAUGAUGAAGGAUUGACAAAGACAAACUUUCCUAAUCCUAAUGUACAAAGAUUUCAGCUCCAAAGAGGAGUCCUAAACACUUUAGGACACCUUAUCCCUUCACAAUCAGCCUUAUCCCUUAGUGCCGCACCUAUUCCCUUCUAGAAAUCUGAUUUCCUUGCCUUGCAAGGCUUUCUAGAAGCCUUAUCCACCCUAUCCCUUACCUACCGCACCUAGGAUGCCUUUUCCCAUUCAAAAUCUGAUUGUUUUAAGCCAUUUCCUGAUGGGUUUUAAUUAUACAAGUCCAUAUCUGAUUCCCCUAGGGUUUUAAGUGCCUAUAUAUACUCAUAUUAACCCUUUGGCUGAAUUACCACCUCUCAUACACAUCAAUUCACGCCAGAAAUCAUCCCUUGCUCUCUGCCGCACCCUUCCACCACCAUAUUCCAUAAUUUCUGCCCAAAAUCAUCCCUAGCUGCACCACCCAUCAACCCUAGACACCACCACACAUCCCCCAUCCAUUCUACACCAUUCUACCAUUCAUAACCCCAAAACCUGUCCACAACCUUUGUGCCGCAGCAAGGAGAAAGGAAGGAACUUCGUGGAUGCACUUGCUGUCCAAGUUGGAGUAUCUAGGUGUUUUCUUUCUUUGGAUUUCAAUGUUUAAACUUAUUUAUCUUUGCUUUGUGCAUAUGAGGAACUAAACCCCCCCUUGGCUAGGGGGGAUUCAAAACCAUGUUUAUGCUCGCUAUAUGAUUUGAUUACUUCUAAUUGCGUUUCAUAAGUUGUGAAUUCAAUUUACUUAUCUAUAUGAAUUAAAACUGGUUUGUGUAUGUUGGUUAAGAGGGCCCGCUUAGUUUGCAUGCAUGAAUUUGAUGCUAGGAUAUAAGGGAAUUUCAAUUAAUUGUUAUAAACUUAUAUUCACAAGUAGUAAAGGUUGUUGAUCACAAUCGUGUUAAGUAAAUUCUUGGCAUAAGUUUCAUGCAAUUCAUAGUAACAAGUGCCCCGUCAAUGCUUAUGGUUUUCAUAGAACUUAAUGAUUCUUGCAUGUGUCUCUAUUAUGCGCUUUCAUGUAGGGAACUUGUGGGGAAUGCUUUGGGUUGUCGUAUGCAAUUCAUCCAAUUCAAUAACUUAAGGAAAAUCUGAGGGUUAAUUUAAGCGGACCUAAUUAACUUGGGGCGUUGAGAAUUCAUGGUUUAUUGAGAAGCAAUUGGAAAUCGUUUUGUAUGCAAGUGUGACAUGUGUGGAGAAGAACCCCUUAGUUAGCCUUCCAUCCAUUCACUUUAACCAAUUUCGUUUUAAAAUCUGUUUAGUUUAGUUUACUUGUUUUGUUUUUAAAUUCGUCCAAAAUCAAUCCCCUUUUACUUUGUUGAGUCAUAUUAGUUAGAAAUCAAUUUAGUUUGUGUUUUUAAGUGUCUUGAGUCAAGUUAUAACCAAUUUUCGUCCAAAUUCUUCCUUGGUGUCAGAAACUGCCCAGAAAGUGUUUUUAAGGCAGUUUUGAGUGUUUGUUUGCUGUUUUGAGUCUUUUGGUUUGUUUU
Molecule: long non-coding RNA, 14108 nt
Filed under: Malus domestica (apple)
Lineage: Eukaryota; Viridiplantae; Streptophyta; Magnoliopsida; Rosales; Rosaceae
Description: long non-coding RNA (MDOM_LNC015423)
Source: RNAcentral